Molecule: long non-coding RNA, 238 nt
Filed under: Mytilus galloprovincialis (Mediterranean mussel)
Lineage: Eukaryota; Metazoa; Mollusca; Bivalvia; Mytilida; Mytilidae
Source: RNAcentral
CCGCUUAAACUAUUGACGUCAUACAACAAUCACUUUUCAAUUGGGGCGUCAGAUAUUUUGUAUUGUGACGUAAACAUUUAACGGGAACCUGUGUGAUGUCCAAUAAUGGCGAACAAAUAGCGAUAAGGUGUAUUUUUUUUCUUACUUUAAAAUAUACGAUAUUGUUAUUUUGUCUGACCAGAGGAUUGAUAUGUCAUUUUAUGAUAUUAUAGAUUAGUUUAUGUUUAAGCCAGUAAAA